GGGCCCGUAGCUCAGUUGGUUAGAGCAAUCGACUCAUAAUCGAUUGGCCGGGGGUUCAAGUCCCUCCGGGCCCACCA
RNAcentral lists this transfer RNA (77 nucleotides) under SAR202 cluster bacterium AD-802-L14_MRT_200m. RNAcentral's name for it is "tRNA-Met". It matches the Rfam family "tRNA". From Rfam's summary of the family: Transfer RNA (tRNA) molecules are approximately 80 nucleotides in length. Lineage: Bacteria; Bacillati; Chloroflexota; Dehalococcoidia. The record is from RNAcentral.